This 77-nucleotide transfer RNA is filed under the name Campylobacter jejuni. RNAcentral describes it as "tRNA-Arg". It matches the Rfam family "tRNA". From Rfam's summary of the family: Transfer RNA (tRNA) molecules are approximately 80 nucleotides in length. Their secondary structure includes four short double-helical elements and three loops (D, anti-codon, and T loops). Further hydrogen bonds mediate the characteristic L-shaped molecular structure. tRNAs have two regions of fundamental functional importance: the anti-codon, which is responsible for specific mRNA codon recognition, and the 3' end, to which the tRNAs corresponding amino acid is attached (by aminoacyl-tRNA synthetases). tRNAs cope with the degeneracy of the genetic code in two manners: having more than one tRNA (with a specific anti-codon) for a particular amino acid; and 'wobble' base-pairing, i.e. permitting non-standard base-pairing at the 3rd anti-codon position. Lineage: Bacteria; Pseudomonadati; Campylobacterota; Epsilonproteobacteria; Campylobacterales; Campylobacteraceae. The record is from RNAcentral.
GCGCUCGUAGCUCAACUGGAUAGAGCGACAGACUUCGGAUCUGUAGAUUAUGGGUUCGAUUCCUAUCGGGCGCACCA